Molecule: ribosomal RNA, 420 nt
Filed under: uncultured bacterium
Lineage: Bacteria
Description: bacterial SSU rRNA
Rfam family: Bacterial small subunit ribosomal RNA
Source: RNAcentral
AGGGAAUAUUGGGCAAUGGAUGCAAGUCUGACCCAGCCAUGCCGCGUGCAGGAAGAAGGUCCUCUGGAUUGUAAACUGCUUUUAUCGGGGAAGAAUAGUUUUCUUGCGAGGGAAUGUGACGGUACCCGAUGAAUAAGCCACGGCUAACUACGUGCCAGCAGCCGCGGUAAUACGUAGGUGGCAAGCGUUGUCCGGAUUUAUUGGGUUUAAAGGGUGCGUAGGUGGUUUUAUAAGUCAGUGGUGAAAGCUGGUUGCUCAACAAUCAAGUUGCCAUUGAUACUGUUAGACUUGAGAGAAGUGGAGGUUCAUGGAAUGGAUGGUGUAGCGGUGAAAUGCAUAGAUAUCAUCCAGAACGUCGAUUGCGAAGGCAGUGGGCUGUACUUUUUCUGACACUGAGGCACGAAAGCGUGGGGAUCAAAC